Molecule: ribosomal RNA, 440 nt
Filed under: uncultured bacterium
Lineage: Bacteria
Description: partial 16S ribosomal RNA
Rfam family: Bacterial small subunit ribosomal RNA
Source: RNAcentral
CUACGGGUGGCACCAGCAGGGAAUAUUGCACAAUGGACGGAAGUCUGAUGCAGCGACGCCGCGUGGAUGAUGAAGGCCUUCGGGUUGUAAAAUCCUUUUCAGGGAGAAGAGGAAGGACGGUAUCCCUGGAAUAAGCGUCGGCUAACUACGUGCCAGCAGCCGCGGUAAUACGUAGGACGCAAGCGUUAUCCGGAUUUACUGGGCGUAAAGCGUCUGUAGGCGGUUUAGUAAGUUUGAUGUGAAAGCUCCAGGCUCAACUUGGAGAGUGCAUUGAAUACUGCUAGACUUGAGGGGAUCAGAGGAAAGCGGAAUUUCCGGUGUAGCGGUAAAAUGCGCAGAUAUCGGAAAGAACACCAGUGGCGAAGGCGGCUUUCUGGGAUCAACCUGACGCUGAGGGACGAAAGCUAGGGUAGCGAACAGGAUUAGAUACCCUCGUAGUC